AAACUCCUUAUCUUUCUGUGGUUUUUUCUUGGUUAACAUAAAAGUUAGUUAGGUACCUACCUACCUACUCUUUGGGAUUUCUCUGCUUCCAUGUUAAACCGGAGGUUGUUCCUCAUUUCCUGAAUGUUAAAGUUUUCAAAAGUGAAAAUCUUUGGUCGGUGGUAGUCGAGACCUUUAUAAAAUAUUUGUUCUUCCUUUAUGAUGUUGAUUUUCAUGAGAUGUACAUAACUCAGAUAUGUUUCUUUCUUUCUUGUCAUAACAUAAAUUCAGUUCUAUGUUAAAACUUUGAUAGCACGAGUGGAGAAACAAACAACUUUAUUAUAAACAGAAGAGAAAAACCCCAAAAACAACUUUCCAAAAGGCCACUUUUUGAUAUUCCAAUGUUCUUGUGGCUUAAAUACCAUCCAAAGCUGUUGUUGUCCUUAUUGAAAAGUAUGGAAAAUACUCUGUGUUUUUAUCUCGACAUGUGCUUAUUAUCCUUAUGAUUAUGAACACAAACACCCGCACACACACCAAACACACAAAAUCAGAUGGAAAAUCUCUCCAAAAAAGGAAUAUUAAUCCCGAAUUCCAAAUAUAAAACGAUGGGAAAUAAAUUUCUAUACGCAUGUUCAUAUUUCCAGAAUUUCCAUUGUAAAAAGGACAUUUCUUUGGUUUCCCCUUCAAGGAUGGGGCGAUAUGAUGUGAAGAUGGAGAAAUCUCUACAAGAUCCACAAUUUAUUUUCUUCCACAUUUAUUUUCCAUCAUACUGGAAAAGAAAACAUGCAGCGGCAAAUUUCCCGCUUCAAUUUUCCAACACUACCACCACACCCACCCACCCAUUCCGUGACUCCACCACAAUGAAUUGUGGAUAAGGGUAAUUUUUUUGAUCCUGGCGCCAAAAAUCGAACAUCACAAGCCAACAAUUGAAUUUGAAGUUGGAAAUCAGAAAAUUAAAAAAAAAAAAAAUAAGACCACCGCAAAGUCAGAAAACUUGUAGGUAUCCAUGAUGAUGUGAAUCCUAGAAUUUCAGCUUGCUGAUGGUGGAUGCUAUUUUGUAAAGUUGGGGCGCAUGGAGCAAUAUAUAUGUAUUUUUGUUUUAUUUUAUUCGACGAAACAAAAAAAUAUCCUUCAAUGUGUUUUGGGAAAUUCAAUAGCUCAGCAUCCCCAGUAACCGUCUGAUGCUUAAGGCGCUCGCAUCAACUUAACGAACGACGAACGAACAAACGACCGUCCUCGUCGACGACGAAUCCUUGACAUUUCUUUCGGUAGCGUUCUGGUCAGUUUCGCAUCUCGUAGAUUUGCGCGAACCGUGGGAAUUUUAUUCACCCUUUCAAUUGAGAGAAAAAAAGAAAUAAAUGGAAAAUUGAAAUAGGGUCCUGCUAAAGGAUAAUUUAAUUAGCAAAGUGAUUUAUAAAUCAAUUAAAAAAAUUAUUUAGUGAUUGUGAAAUUCAUCAAUUGUGAAAAUAUCAAUUAUAUAGUAGUGAGUCGGAAAAUAUAUAUUUUAUGAAAAUUAAAAUAAAAAAUAUCCACUUAAUAUGUUCACAUGAUUGCACGUGUGCUCUGAAAUAGCUUUCCCAUGAUUGGUAUCAAAAUCAAAUCAAAUUAAAUCAUAUAUUGAGUUCUGGAGAAAAAAAAUAUAAAUAUACUUUUUUUUUGUAUGAAAUUUUGUUAUUUUUCGGGAAUAAAGUUUGUGUAUUUUUAUUUAUUUAGUGAAUUUUUAAUUAGAUUCAACUUUUACACAGCAAAGGAUAGGAAAGGAAGGAUACGCGUUUAUAACACUGCUGCCCAUCAUACAAUCCUAAAAAGUAUGAUGACAUAACCUCAACAAUUAUUCUUAAUAGGACAUGCAAAUGUAAUGUCAAAUAUAGGAACAAAAAACAAAAACAAGGACAUAUCUUUCCAAGUGAUUUUGUGUGGUAAACUAAAUAUAUCUGUGAAUAAAAUUUAACCAAAAUACCUGACAAAAAAAAAACAAUAUGUAAAUCGCCAUGACACUCAAUUUCUGUGUGAUAGGCAGAUCUAGAAACAGCUAAAACAACAAAAGAAAGAAAAAAUAGAAAUAGAUAUAGAAAGAAUAGAAAAAUAUCCUAUAUAUAAAGUGUACAACAUUAAUAGUCCUUGUAAGGCAGGGACUUUACUGCUAUGAUAGAGUUGAAUGUUAGGGAACCAGAACAAGGUAUCAAUAAAAAAAACAAAAAGAAA
Eupeodes corollae is the source of this 2184-nucleotide long non-coding RNA. RefSeq lists it as uncharacterized. The record is from RefSeq and is a predicted model, not a curated record. Lineage: Eukaryota; Metazoa; Arthropoda; Insecta; Diptera; Syrphidae. The transcript has 2 exons.